UACGUAGGGUGCAAGCGUUAAUCGGAAUUACUGGGCGUAAAGGGCGCGUAGGCGGCCUGCUAAGUCGAACGUGAAAUCCCCGGGCUCAACCCGGGAACUGCGUCCGAUACUGGCAGGCUUGAAUCCGGGAGAGGGAUGUGGAAUUCCAGGUGUAGCGGUGAAAUGCGUAGAUAUCUGGAGGAACACCGGUGGCGAAGGCGGCAUCCUGGACCGGUAUUGACGCUGAUGCGCGAAAGCCAGGGGAGCAAACGGG
This 253-nucleotide ribosomal RNA is filed under the name uncultured bacterium. RNAcentral's name for it is "partial 16S ribosomal RNA". It matches the Rfam family "Bacterial small subunit ribosomal RNA", at positions 524 to 776 of the family's 1533-position model. The record is from RNAcentral.